RNAcentral lists this ribosomal RNA (523 nucleotides) under uncultured bacterium. Its description in RNAcentral is "partial 16S ribosomal RNA". It matches the Rfam family "Bacterial small subunit ribosomal RNA", at positions 28 to 523 of the family's 1533-position model. The record is from RNAcentral.
GACGAACGCUGGCGGCGUGCUUAACACAUGCAAGUCGAACGAGACGAUUGAAAGCUUGCUUUCGAAAGUCGAGUGGCAAACGGGUGAGUAACGCGUAGACAACCUGCCUUUGAGAUGGGGACAACAGUUCGAAAGGACUGCUAAUACCGAAUGUUGUAUAUUUUCCACAUGGAAGAUAUAUUAAAGAUGGCCUCUAUUUAUAAGCUAUCGCUCAAAGAUGGGUCUGCGUCUGAUUAGCUGGUUGGUGGGGUAACGGCCUACCAAGGCGACGAUCAGUAGCCGGUCUGAGAGGAUGAACGGCCACAUUGGGACUGAGACACGGCCCAGACUCCUACGGGAGGCAGCAGGGGGAAUCUUCCACAAUGGACGAAAGUCUGAUGGAGCAACGCCGCGUGAGUGAAGAAGGGUUUCGGCUCGUAAAGCUCUGUUGUCGGGGACGAAUGUGCAGUAUUUGAAUAAAGUACUGCAAUGACGGUACCUGACGAGGAAGCCACGGCUAACUACGUGCCAGCCGCCGCGGUAA